This is a non-coding RNA of Dallia pectoralis (Alaska blackfish), 78 nucleotides long. The record is from the annotation of a GenBank genome assembly. Lineage: Eukaryota; Metazoa; Chordata; Actinopteri; Esociformes; Umbridae.
GCCCGGAUAGCUCAGUCGGUAGAGCAUCACACUUUUAAUCUUUCCAAGUCCCUGAGGGUCCAAGUCCCUGUUUGGGCG